RNAcentral lists this ribosomal RNA (253 nucleotides) under uncultured bacterium. Its description in RNAcentral is "partial 16S ribosomal RNA". It matches the Rfam family "Bacterial small subunit ribosomal RNA", at positions 524 to 776 of the family's 1533-position model. The record is from RNAcentral.
UACGUAGGGUGCGAGCGUUAAUCGGAAUUACUGGGCGUAAAGCGUGCGUAGACGGUUACGUAAGUCAGAUGUGAAAGCCCCGGGCUCAACCUGGGAAUUGCAUUUGAGACUGCGUAGCUAGGGUGCGGAAGAGGGAAGCGGAAUUUCCGGUGUAGCGGUGAAAUGCGUAGAUAUCGGAAGGAACACCAGUGGCGAAAGCGGCUUCCUGGUCCAGCACCGACGUUCAGGCACGAAAGCGUGGGGAGCAAACAGG